CUUUCAGCGGGGAGGAAGGCGAUAAGGUUAAUAACCUUGCCGAUUGACGUUACCCGCAGAAGAAGCACCGGCUAACUCCGUGCCAGCAGCCGCGGUAAUACGGAGGGUGCAAGCGUUAAUCGGAAUUACUGGGCGUAAAGCGCACGCAGGCGGUCUGUCAAGUCGGAUGUGAAAUCCCCGGGCUCAACCUGGGAACUGCAUUCGAAACUGGCAGGCUAGAGUCUUGUAGAGGGGGGUAGAAUUCCAGGUGUAGCGGUGAAAUGCGUAGAGAUCUGGAGGAAUACCGG
Molecule: ribosomal RNA, 287 nt
Filed under: Enterobacter hormaechei
Lineage: Bacteria; Pseudomonadati; Pseudomonadota; Gammaproteobacteria; Enterobacterales; Enterobacteriaceae
Description: partial 16S ribosomal RNA
Rfam family: Bacterial small subunit ribosomal RNA
Source: RNAcentral